This 445-nucleotide RNase P RNA is filed under the name Planctomycetota bacterium. RNAcentral describes it as "RNase P RNA component class A". It matches the Rfam family "Bacterial RNase P class A". From Rfam's summary of the family: Ribonuclease P (RNase P) is a ubiquitous endoribonuclease, found in archaea, bacteria and eukarya as well as chloroplasts and mitochondria. Its best characterised activity is the generation of mature 5'-ends of tRNAs by cleaving the 5'-leader elements of precursor-tRNAs. The record is from RNAcentral. Lineage: Bacteria; Pseudomonadati; Planctomycetota.
AUGUUAGAAAGGAUAACCGCCGUUGCGGUUUGCACUUCGGAAACGAGGCGCGAACGCGGUCGACGGAGGAAAGUCCGGACUCCUUUGGAUCACGGUGGUGGGUAACGCCCACCGCUUCCUUCGGGAAGUAGGGACAGUGUCACAGAAAGCAAACCGCCCGGAAGGUUUCGGCCUUCCAGGUAAGGGUGAAACGGCGAGGUAAGAGCUCACCAGCAAGCCGGGCGACCGGCUUGGCUCGACAAACCCCACCGGGAGCAAGACCAAAUAGGAAGGCAGUUGCCACGUGGAUUUGGGUUAUUCCAAAAAAAUGUGUCACGCGGGUCGAUCCAGCCCGUUCCACCUUCGGGUAGGUUGCUAGAGGCGUCGGGCAACCGACGUCCCAGAGAAAUGGUUAUCCAGGGUGCUUAAACCCUGACAGAAUCCGGCUUAUAAGUCUAACAUCUCC